This 253-nucleotide ribosomal RNA is filed under the name uncultured bacterium. Its description in RNAcentral is "partial 16S ribosomal RNA". It matches the Rfam family "Bacterial small subunit ribosomal RNA", at positions 524 to 776 of the family's 1533-position model. The record is from RNAcentral.
UACGGGGGGGGCAAGCGUUGUUCGGAAUUACUGGGCGUAAAGGGCUCGUAGGUGGCCAACUAAGUCAGACGUGAAAUCCCUCGGCUUAACCGGGGAACUGCGUCUGAUACUGGAUGGCUUGAGUUCGGGAGAGGGAUGCGGAAUUCCAGGCGUAGCGGUGAAAUGCGUAGAUAUCUGGAGGAACACCGGUGGCGAAGGCGGCAUCCUGGACCGACACUGACGCUGAGGAGCGAAAGCCAGGGGAGCAAACGGG